GUGGCUGUAGCUCAGGGGUAGAGCCCCGGUUUGUGGUACCGGUUGUCGCGGGUUCAAAUCCCGUCAGCCACCCCA
This 75-nucleotide transfer RNA is filed under the name Akkermansiaceae bacterium UBA1506. RNAcentral's name for it is "tRNA-His(gtg)". It matches the Rfam family "tRNA". From Rfam's summary of the family: Transfer RNA (tRNA) molecules are approximately 80 nucleotides in length. Their secondary structure includes four short double-helical elements and three loops (D, anti-codon, and T loops). Lineage: Bacteria; Pseudomonadati; Verrucomicrobiota; Verrucomicrobiia; Verrucomicrobiales; Akkermansiaceae. RNAcentral also lists the same sequence under 2 other names. The record is from RNAcentral.